RNAcentral lists this non-coding RNA (110 nucleotides) under Fragilariopsis kerguelensis. Lineage: Eukaryota; Bacillariophyta; Bacillariophyceae; Bacillariales; Bacillariaceae. The record is from RNAcentral.
ACAGAUAUGAUAGAAAAAAAGAGAAAAAUCAGAAAACAAAAGAAUAGAAGUGCGGUUUUGUCAUCACUUCCUUCGUUCUUCGUGUUCAUUCAUUAUUUUGGUCCUCCUCA